Molecule: ribosomal RNA, 465 nt
Filed under: uncultured bacterium
Lineage: Bacteria
Description: bacterial SSU rRNA
Rfam family: Bacterial small subunit ribosomal RNA
Source: RNAcentral
CCUACGGGUCGCACCAGUGGGGAAUAUUGCACAAUGGGCGCAAGCCUGAUGCAGCCAUGCCGCGUGUAUGAAGAAGGCCUUCGGGUUGUAAAGUACUUUCAGCGGGGAGGAAGGCGAUAAGGUUAAUAACCUUGUCGAUUGACGUUACCCGCAGAAUAAGCACCAGCUAACUCCGUGCCAGCAGCCGCGGUAAUACGGAGGGUGCAAGCGUUAAUCGGAAUUACUGGGCGUAAGGCGCACGCAGGCGGUCUGUCAAGUCGGAUGUGAAAUCCCCGGGCUCAACCUGGGAACUGCAUUCGAAACUGGCAGGCUGGAGUCUUGUAGAGGGGGGUAGAAUUCCAGGUGUAGCGGUGAAAUGCGUAGAGAUCUGGAGGAAUACCGGUGGCGAAGGCGGCCCCCUGGACAAAGACUGACGCUCAGGUGCGGAAGCGUGGGGAGCAAACAGGAUUAGAUACCCCAGUAGUC